This 633-nucleotide unclassified non-coding RNA is filed under the name Trichoderma harzianum. RNAcentral describes it as "sequence contains 18S rRNA gene, ITS1, 5.8S rRNA gene, ITS2, 28S rRNA gene". Lineage: Eukaryota; Fungi; Ascomycota; Sordariomycetes; Hypocreales; Hypocreaceae. The record is from RNAcentral.
GGGACUGGGCAUUCUACAUGAUCUGAGGUCACAUUUCAGAAGUUGCGUGUUUAACGGCUGUGGACGCGCCGCGCCCUCAACAGGGAGUGUGCAAACUACUGCGCAGGAGAGGCUGCGGCGCCAUUGACACUGUAUUUCGGAGACGGCCACCGCCAAGGCAGGGCCGAUCCCCAACGCCGACCCCCCGGAGGGGUUCGAGGGUUGAAAUGACGCUCGGACAGGCAUGCCCGCCAGAAUACUGGCGGGCGCAAUGUGCGUUCAAAGAUUCGAUGAUUCACUGAAUUCUGCAAUUCACAUUACUUAUCGCAUUUCGCUGCGUUCUUCAUCGAUGCCAGAACCAAGAGAUCCGUUGUUGAAAGUUUUGAUUCAUUUUCGAAACGCCUACGAGAGGCGCCGAGAAGGCUCAGAUUAUAAAAAAACCCGCGAGGGGGUAUACAAUAAGAGUUUUGGUUGGUCCUCCGGCGGGCGCCUUGGUCCGGGGCUGCGACGCACCCGGGGCAGAGAUCCCGCCGAGGCAACAGUUUGGUAACGUUCACAUUGGGUUUGGGAGUUGUAAACUCGGUAAUGAUCCCUCCGCUGGUUCACCAACGGAGACCUUGUUACGACUUUUACUUCCAAAGGUGCGUCAGCGGU